AUUGAACGCUGGCGGCAGGCCUAACACAUGCAAGUCGAACGAGUGGCGGACGGGUGAGUAAUGUCUGGGAAACUGCCUGAUGGAGGGGGUAACUACUGGAAACGGUAGCCAAUACCCACUACCCUCAGGUUUGCCCAGAUGGGAUUAGCUUGUUGGGGGGGUAACGGCUCACCAAGGCGACGAUCCCUAGCUGGUCUGAGAGGAUGACCAGCCACACUGGAACUGAGACACGGUCCAGACUCCUACGGGAGGCAGCAGGGGGGAAUAUUACACAAUGGGCGCAAGCCUGAUGCAGCCAUGCCGCGUGUAUGAAGAAGGCCUUCGGGUUGUAAAGUACUUUCAGCGGGGAGGCGUUACCCGCAGAAGAAGCACCGGCUAACUCCGUGCCAGCAGCCGCGGUAAUUC
Molecule: ribosomal RNA, 405 nt
Filed under: uncultured bacterium
Lineage: Bacteria
Description: partial 16S ribosomal RNA
Rfam family: Bacterial small subunit ribosomal RNA
Source: RNAcentral